GACGAACGCUGGCGGCGUGCUUAACACAUGCAAGUCGAACGGAAAGGCCCUGCUUUUGUGGGGUGCUCGAGUGGCGAACGGGCGAGUAACACGUGAGUAACCUGCCCUUGACUUUGGGAUAACUUCAGGAAACUGGGGCUAAUACCGGAUAGGAGCUCCUGCUGCAUGGUGGGGGUUGGAAAGUUUCGGCGGUUGGGGAUGGACUCGCGGCUUAUCAGCUUGUUGGUGGGGUAGUGGCUUACCAAGGCUUUGACGGGUAGCCGGCCUGAGAGGGUGACCGGCCUCAUUGGGACUGAGAUACGGCCCAGACUCCUACGGGAGGCAGCAGUGGGGAAUAUUGCACAAUGGGCGGAAGCCUGAUGCAGCAACGCCGCGUGCGGGAUGACGGCCUUCGGGUUGUAAACCGCUUUCGCCUGUGACGAAGCGUGAGUGACGGUAAUGGGUAAAGAAGCACCGGCUAACUACGUG
Molecule: ribosomal RNA, 468 nt
Filed under: uncultured bacterium
Lineage: Bacteria
Description: partial 16S ribosomal RNA
Rfam family: Bacterial small subunit ribosomal RNA
Source: RNAcentral